Molecule: ribosomal RNA, 76 nt
Filed under: Cervus elaphus (red deer)
Lineage: Eukaryota; Metazoa; Chordata; Mammalia; Artiodactyla; Cervidae
Description: partial 12S ribosomal RNA
Source: RNAcentral
CCCGUCACCCUCCUCAAGUAGGCACAGUACACUCAAAUUUAUUUGCACGUAUUAAUCAUAUGAGAGGAGACAAGUC